AUGGCGGCCAAGGUGGCGUCCCCGCUCCCGUUCCGCCGCGACCUGCGGGGCCCGCUCGGGCGGCGGUCGCCCAGGAGCGGGCUGCCCGGCGCGCUGGCCGGGCUGGGCUGGAGCGACGGCUCCCGCAGGCUCGUGGCGCCGGCGUGGCCGGCGCGGGCGCGCGGGAGGAACAACCGGUCCGGCGGACGCGGCGCGACCAAGGAAGAGGACGAGCGCGCCGAGGAGGCGGAGGAGGCGGAGGCCGUGCUGAUCAUCGACGGGGAGGAGGACGACGAGGAGUUUGGCGACGACGAUCUGUCCGGGUUCAGGGGGCUCGUUCUUGAUCUCUCCUACAGGCCUGUCAAUGUCGUCUGCUGGAAGCGCGCGAUCUGCCUGGAAUUCAUGGAGAAGGCCGAUGUUCUGGAGUACUACGAUCAGACGGUCUCCUCUCCCAGUGGGUCCUUCUACAUCCCCGCGGUUCUCAGGGUUCCACAGCUGCUGCAAGUUGUGAAGAGGAGAAGGGUCAAGCACUGCCUUAGCCGGAAGAACAUACUCUUCAGGGAUGGGUUCAGUUGCCAGUAUUGCUCUUCUGAAGAUGACCUCACAAUUGAUCAUGUCAUCCCGGCCUCGCGUGGCGGCAAAUGGGAAUGGGAGAACCUGGUAACUGCAUGCUCUAGAUGCAACUCCAGGAAGGGUAACAAGACGCUACUGCAAGCAAACAUGAAGCUACGCAAGAUCCCCAAGGGGCCUAAGGAAUUCGACAUCAUCGCGGUGCCCUUGACGAAAUCCGCGUUCAGGACGAUCAGGAGGAGGCACGGCCUGCCUGAAGAGUGGCUGCAGUACCUUGCCGGGCCAUCUCCAUGA
RNAcentral lists this ribosomal RNA (843 nucleotides) under Triticum aestivum (bread wheat). RNAcentral's name for it is "partial small subunit ribosomal RNA". The record is from RNAcentral. Lineage: Eukaryota; Viridiplantae; Streptophyta; Magnoliopsida; Poales; Poaceae.